UCCAAAUCAAGGCAAUGGAGCUUCAAAUCCAACCUACAAGAGUGUUCUACACUCAUCAAUUCCACCCUAAGGUAUCGUUUGGUUCGGGGAUAAGCAAAAAGUGGCUAUUCCAGGAAUAUUUAUAAAUUGAGGUAUAAACGGGGAUUAGAUCAAUUUUGCAUUUGGAUGAAAAUUGGGUUAUUUCUGAGAAUAAAAAAAAAUAGCGUUUGGUUAGGUAAGAUGGAAUACAAAUUUAAGUGGAUAGUUAUAAAUAAAAAAUAAUGAUAUUAUCCUCUUCUUUAUAUUAAAAUUUAAAUUUUUAUAUUUUNAAAAAAUUUAAAAUAUCAAAUUUUAAAAUUUAAAAUUAAACAAUUUAAAAUUUAAUUUUUUUUAAUUUUGUAAUUUUAAAAAUUAUAAAUUUUUAUUUUUUAACUUACAAAAUUUAAAAUUUAAAAUAAAUUAAAAAUUCUCUUUCUUACUCUCUCUCUCUCUCUCUCUCUCUUCACGGGUGGAACAAGCUGGGUAAUGCCAGCUUGUUCCACCCUGGAGUGGGAACACUAAUUCCUAUCUUAAUGAGCUAUUCUAGUUCCUACCCCUUAAUGGGCU
This 585-nucleotide long non-coding RNA is filed under the name Ananas comosus (pineapple). RNAcentral describes it as "long non-coding RNA (ACOM_LNC030522)". The record is from RNAcentral. Lineage: Eukaryota; Viridiplantae; Streptophyta; Magnoliopsida; Poales; Bromeliaceae.